This is a long non-coding RNA of Cygnus olor (mute swan), 4762 nucleotides long. RefSeq lists it as uncharacterized. The record is from RefSeq and is a predicted model, not a curated record. NCBI's taxonomy places the organism in Eukaryota, Metazoa, Chordata, Aves, Anseriformes, Anatidae. The transcript is spliced from 3 exons.
GUGGUGAAAAGCUGCCUUUUUUCCAAAUACUUUAAUGGCAAUCAGGGAAGUUGAUGAUUGAUGAAAGAAGACUGGAGCUGGAUCAGAAAAUAGACAAGUGCUAAUGUUAAAAUUAUUGCUGAAGAAAACAGAAUUCAACUUCAAAGUGAAAUCAGCAGGUGUAGACCUUGCACUCUCUGGUUAUGUCAAGUCGUAGAUCUGGAAAUAACCUUGAGAAAGAGUAAUUGUGAAGGACUGGUUGUGAGUCAUCACCAACAAAAUGACACAUGAAGAUUGACAGAUUGCUGGGAGUUAAUUAUUGAGUGCUUAAACCAUGAAAGAGAAUGUGAGUAUAUCCAAAAAUCUGCAGUGAUUGUCAUCAGCGAUCAGUCAUGAAGAGUAAUGGUUGUUUAUUUAAUGUAUUCCCUUGGUGACUUUCUCUGGAGCUCUUGGUUUUACCACGUUGUCUAGUCUAGCUUAGGGAAAGCUGUUGCAGUGUUUUGCAUCCCCCUUCUUUGAAAAGUGUACCACAGGUUUUUUCUUCUUCCCUUUAUUUUAUUUUUUUCCCAACCAAUUCCAUGUUCUUGUGCCAGCACAAAUGCUUCUUCUGCCUGCUUGAAGACCUCAGAGGUUCAUAGGCAGCUUUCAGACUGGAGUCUCUUACCCAGUAGGAGGGUGACUCCUUUCAGGCUGCACAUUUUUUAAAAUUUUUUUCUGAAUAUCUUGUGGUUUCUCGUGUGUUUUUUGUGAUGAAAUAAGAUGAAGUACAGUUUCUAGAUCUAAUUGUACAGGGGACCAUACAGGCAAAGAUGUGCAGCAGUAACUGUGUCUAGCACUGGCUGUUAGAUCUGUGUUCACCCAGCGAGGACUGCAUUGAUCUCACUGUCAAAGCUGUGGUCACAUUCUGUUGCAAAUUCGUGUUUAAUCUGCGUUUUUUUACGAAGCUGCCAACCCCCCGUCAUCGGUCACUCUCCCCACAGCAGAACUGGUGGGGCACGGCAGAUAAGAAGCUCUCCAGUUCUUCAGUGCCAAGCUUAAACUGCUGAUUUCAGCUGGCUACGUGAUUUCAUGGCCAGGAAGGCAGGGAAGAGCAGCCUCGAUGGCAGGGCCAUCAUGGGCAGCCGAGCAGAGUGACUUCUUGAGCAGGUCGUGCUAGAUAGACCAGCGACACCAACAAACCACACAUCAGCCCUAUCUGCACAUCAAAACAGCGUCCACCACCAACACCAGGCAGUCGUAACCCAUGAGGAGCUCAAAGAAGCUGACAUUUUAGCCCCACCAGUCCUUUGAUCCAAGUUGCUGUGGAAGAAUAUGACUCAGGCCCCAGUGGAAGAGGUGGAAACCCUAAACGUGAUCGAGGAGCCACAGCCGCUCCGGCUGGCCAAACUGCACCGCUGCUGAAUGUCAAACCUCAGCGCACGCUGCCCCGUUUCCAGGAACCAAGCUCGGGCUGUUCAUUCCAUCUGCCUCUCUUGCUGCCGUGUCUUUAGUGUCGUUAGUGGCUUCAGCUACUCGGAUGUCAGGUUCCUUGCAACCUGGCCAGAAUUCUGGCCCUCUGUGCUAUGCUGGUAUUGAAGUAACUGCUACAGCAAUAGGUCAGGUAGCGAUUAACUGCGUGUUUGUUUCUUUGAUAUUGCAGGUAGUCUGUGUGCUGGCUCGGUUAGGUUUACAUCCUCCGUUGAUGCCCGUGAUUCUAGAUUUGCCUUUACCUAGCAGUGAAAUCAGUUACCUAGUUCUGUAAACGCAGGUGCCCUGACUCCUUGUAACUGAGCAAGGUGAGGCUGAACUCAGUCAGGGAGUGUGAGUCCAGCAGUGCAAUUCUAGGAAAUCAUAUGGAAGAUGCAGGAUUCACACUGUCAUCUGGCAUCUUUUUGAAGUUAAGAAUUAUGGAGGUUUUUUCUUGUUGUUUUGUGGUUGCUUUUUAAUAUUCUUGUGCCAAGACUGAUUUCUCCCUAUUAAGGAAGGACUUGACUGGUUUGGUAAAAAGCAUCCUGACGUCUUCUUUAAUCGAUCGCUUUUAUACCUUGUGUUGUAUUUAUUGUGCUUAACGCUUGCUUUGAUAUUUUAUCCUAGUGCUGCUUCCAUUGUUUUACAAGUGACAUUUUCAUAGGAUUUGGCUUUAUGAAGCUAACGUUCAGUGAAGCUAGUAAAGACACAAAACCACAGCCUUAGUUCUCACAUCCUCUUCUACGAAAUUCAAGUUUAGUUUCAGUCUCUGCUGCUGUGCUCAGUCCUUCUACCCUUUGAAAACUACUCUUCCCUCUUAAAGAAUGAAUCCUGUUGAAGGCUAAGAAAUAUGAGGCAUUCCGAGUAGCGUAUUUUAAUGAAUAUUUGCACUUUAGUUGUGUAACCAUUUCAUCUGCUGCCAUUUUUCAGUUGCUUUGUGUUCAGAAUGAUUUUGCUGAUCCAAGCAUUUAUUUGCAGCUUUGCUUGCAAGUCUUGGUCACAACCUGGGCUUUGAUCUUUUGUCUUUGCAUUCAGAAAUCCCCAGAUGUUUACUGUUGUUAUUUUGCUUGUGAAACUUUAACUAAAGUUUUUAAUCAAAUUUUAGUCUCUGUAGCAUAUUUAUCUGUAGCUAAAUUUUUUUCACAAUUUAUGGACAAGCAAAUGCUUAUAAAUCUUUCAGCAUGGAGUAGUCUGACAAGGACAUGCAGAAUAAAAACGAGCAGCACAAGAUUACUCAUUGAACGUUUCCGUUAUCUUCAUAUUCUUGUACUGUUCCUAUUACUGGAUGUUAUACGGUGCUAUACUCUAGAUCCUGAAGCUUUACAGGAAAUAGCAAUUAUUACUGCCCUGGCUCUGUGGAUAAGAAACUGAGGCAAAGUGAGUUGGUUGCAGACAGCCGGUGACUGAGCCGAGACUGAAAGCCAGCUCUCCUGUGCUUCAAACACUCAAAGGAUGCAUGGGAUGGUGGCUGUGCAGUAGCAUAAAUGAUUGCAAAUUGUAACUAGUGAUGCAUACUUAAUGCAUAUCUUACUAUGCAUUUCUUUUAUUUGUUAUACACUUAGUUUAAUUAAUUUUUAAACACACUUUUUGAAGGGUAGCAGCAAGCAACGAGUCCCAGAGGGUAGUGUCUCUGACUAAUCUGUAUCAUGCUGUCAAUAACUGUUUUCCAUCCGAGCUUAGACUUCACACUGGUACACGAUCACACCUGAUACACCCUGUACGGACACCGUGGCUGGAGGUAAGAGCUGGCAAUGAAUAACUUUGCUGUUGUCAGAGCCUGUCUGAGCUUUGAAAAGACUGCUUUCCAUUUUCUUGCUUCUUUCUACUUUGUUCUCUCCUGCCUUUUUUUUUUUUUUCCUGAGGUUGUGUCAGAUCUGUGAAUAGCAAUGAGAAACAGCCAUGGUGCAUCUCUCUGGAUCAGGAACUGUAGUGCUUUGAAAUUUAAUUACUUCACAUUUAAAUGAGUGGGUAUCUGAUGUGGCUUGCACUAAGAGCAUUCCUGUUACAGAGCUCGUCCUCAGGCUGCUGAGCACGGAUUCUCUUGGGGGCUCUGACUGUCCCUGUCUCCAGGACAGACACCAGGGUAAGGGGACGGGUCACAGCUUCUGUACAUCAAGAAUGACGGCACUGUGCGAAGUUCUCCCACACUGUACUUCGACAGCAGCUGAUUUCUCUGUGUUACUCAUUAGGCAUAAAAAAAAAAAGAAAGGUCUUGUGAUAAAAUAAUUACAUACAGAUUUCACUUGCAUGGGAUAAUGUAUAUGAGUCUGCAGUCUCAGAGGUUGAGUGGUAGAUAAGUGAGAGAUCAAUGCUUUUUGGUCUAUAUUGUCUGUGGGGAGAGACUUUAGUCAGCAUACACUUCCUUUAUGUGCCUCAGCAGCACGUCGAACCCAUGCUACAAGUAAGCCGAAGAGCCCGUGAAACUCACUGCCAAACUGGUAAGUAACCCGUGGAACUCACCGCCACGAGAUACAGCUGCCAACAACACAACCAAACUUGGAAAAAGGUUGGGAAGUGCUGGUACCAAGAAUUAGAGAGCUCGUAAUAUUUGGGGAAGGAAGGGAAUGUGUGCGUGUUAAAGUACGUGUCUUAAGAAUGACAGUGUGAUUUGAUUUUAAGUGCUGAGCUGUCCAUAUAUUCAAGAGUUGCCUAUUGCAAGGAUUUUGGUAUCGUGCUUGCAUAACAGCUAGCUCAAUUCCCGUCACUCAGGAUGCUGGUUUUUACCACUAAGCACUGCGCUUGGUGGAAAGAGGGCUUAGGCCUGAUGCAAGGGCCUUGUAAGGUCAAAGCAGGCAAAGACAAAAGCAGAGUCAGGAGCACGUCUAACAAGUAAAAUCUGAAACCGAGGACACAGCGUGGUGCCAGGCUGCUGACAGAAUCCCAGCUUUCUUCGCGCUCUGGUCAGUUUAUGCCCUGAUGCAUUCAUUGCCAGAGGCAAGCAUCGCAGGCAUUUAUUCCAGACCUAACCUGUCACCACCGUCUAAUGGGUUAGCAGGAGGGGAGGGGGACUGCAUUGUAUAUUUGUGCCCUUCUCCUUCCAUUUUCCCCGGUAACCAGUCCUUAUUUACCAGAUGCAUCCAUUUGCCCACGUAGAGAAGAAAGGCUUCCUUCAGCCCCAGCGAAACCCGUGGCAGUUGUGCCAUUGAUGAAGAACGCGUGCACGGCGAGAGGGGGGCAGAGGAUUCAGCCCUCACGACUGCGUGCGGUUCUUCAUUCAUUGCUCUUAAGCAAGAGACCAGCUCAUCUGGGACCAGUGUCUGUUCUUGAACGUUUUCACUCGACAGUGUUUUUCCCCACUGACUUUCCAAAAGGGUGUUUUGUUCCUCCUGCGCUGAGC